Molecule: long non-coding RNA, 3172 nt
Filed under: Cricetulus griseus (Chinese hamster)
Lineage: Eukaryota; Metazoa; Chordata; Mammalia; Rodentia; Cricetidae
Description: lncRNA (ENSCGRG00015029994.1)
Source: RNAcentral
CUGAGAGGUGUUACCAGAACUUUUGAAGCUGUUUCUGAUGUGUCUUAGAAGUGUAUGACAGAAGAGAGGGAGUGGUGAUGAUGAUCAGUGGCAGUUCAAGCUGGCGGAUCUUGGUAGCCCUGCUCUUCAUUUAACUGGCAGUGGAGAAAAGCACAGCAAACAUGGAAGACAGGGAAGGCAGCAGAGCAAUGGUGCAGGUCGGUUGGUCUGAAGAAAAGUGAAAACAGCAUGUGCUACAGCCUUCCCUGCCUUAUGAGUGGAAUCAGUUUCCGGAGAACCCCAAAAAGGGUGUCACUGGUGUUGGGGAAUAAAGAUUGAGUGCUUUUAAUUUGAAAUCAGAAAUCCGCAGCUGUUUACAGUUCAAGUUACGACACGGAUUGUGGCCUCGUGCAUCUCUGCACAUGGAAAAAGUGAAUGCAGACUGGAAUGGUGAUUUCAUCAGGAAACGGUACACAGCCCUCCACUAUUCAUCAUGCUGCAGCCACCGUGAUAAGGUGGGACACCGCGUUGAGGGCUCACAUUCAAAUGGUGAAGACAGAUAACAAACAGCAGCAUAAAAGUUACCAAAGGAAUUACAAAUCGAGGUAAGGGCAAGGAAGGAAACAAACAAGAAGCUGCGGUACAGGCUCCAUAAAACGUGGUAGCUUGACUCUUCUCUGAGAGAGGGGAUGGCUGGGGCCAACCUGCUCCUGCGACCCAUUUGGUGGGUUAAGCGAGGCAGAACCAUCAAGGCACCUGGCACGGAGUUUCUAGGUGGUGGAGACCGGAUUCGAUUCUACAGCCCCGACUGCAGCCUUCUUUCUUGAAAAUGCUGACAGUCAUUUCCAGUCAAGUCAGAGGAAAGAGAAGAGCACACCGGAAGCCCCUGGUGAGAAAAACAUUGAAUCUAGCAUGGAAAAGAGCCGCGUAAAGAAGCUCAGUGACAGAAGGGUCAGCUGCCCACAGUCACAGCUAGAGUCGGUCCCAUCCUAACUGCCUUUGGGAAUAUGGUCAGGAGGCUUGAGUUUCUUUCUAAGAGCGGUGAGACCACAGGUGCAUUUCUGACAAGGUCUAGACUUGGUCUCAAACGUUUAAAAGAAGGUACCUCUGAUUGCAGUGUGGAGAAUGCACCACAAGCAGGAAAAUCAGUAAGGAGACCAGCAGGGGAGGGGAUACAGUUUUUGAUGAUGAGAUGGAGGAGAGAUUUGAACACAUUUUGGAGGCAGAAUGAAUAGCACUGUAUAGGACAAUGUGUUUGCCAACCUCAAGGAGGUGAUAGGAGGCCGGCACACCACAUGACACUGGGAUGCAGGCUUUUCUUAGAAGUGUGUUAACUCCAAAAGAGUAGUUCUUCUUAGGAGGCAGUUGCUGAGUGAAUUAGAAACAAAAGGGAAGAAAGGAAAACCUCGGUGUGUCUUAUUUCUUCAGCACAACAAAGCGGCUGGUGGGUGGUUGAAAAUUCUUUCUGGGGUAAUAUCUAUCACCUCAGAUGAGAGCACAGAGUUCAGGGAAGGUGAGUGACUAGCCACAAUGCAAACAUAAAUGCACUUUUCCUUUACCUAACACAUUGACUUCUACUAAGGAAAGAUGAAUUUGACAGCUAAGUCAAUUUCCCACCAAGCCUGUGACUCCAGAGUCCUUCGUUAUAGGCUGAGUAUUUUUAAAAUUUCUUAUUCCUUUAAUUAGUGAAAGACCCCUGCCCCUUAGCCCUCUCUUUCUCAAGUUUGCCUCCUCCUCCGGUCCGCGGCUGGUGGGGCGCGGGGAGGAUGCCUCCACUCCUGCGCCUUCCCGAUCACCACCCCCGCAGGCCUCCACUUCCCCCGCCGCCGCACGCCCGGCCGGCCACCGGUUCCCUCCAAAGCUGGUCCACCCUGGCGGGGCCCCGCGCCCCCUGCCCGCCCGCCUGGCACCGCGCCCCGGGGCUGGGGCCGAGCGAGGAGCCCGCGAGGAGGCCCGAGGGCGAGCAACAGGUGGGCCGGCACGAGGGCGAGCAUCAGGUGAGCCGGCCUGGGGCCCCGCCCCCGCGCCCCCGCCCGAUGGGGAACACUCCGUCCCAAGGUCUCCGCCCCCAAGGUAAGCCAUCUGGAUGCAGAGGGGGGAAUUGAGUCUGUUGUACCAGACACCAGACCUUGAGAAUAUGCUGGUCUGGAAUGGCUCUGUGCCUCAUUUGAACCAUCCAAUAGAAAUGACUCUGUAUUUCACCUCAUUUGAAUGACUCUAUACUUCGCCUCAUUUGAAUAACCCUGAGUAGCACCUCAUUUACAUUGACCAAUGGGAAUAGCUCUGUACUGCGCCUCAUUUGAAUUAUCCAAUAGAAUCCCUGCUUCUCGUUUGCGCUUUUUGCUAUAUAAGGACCCCUCUCCCUUGGCUUGUCGCGAUUGGCCUCACAGAAGCUAAGUCGCCCCGGGUACCCGUGUAUCCAAUAAAGCCUCUUGCUAUUUGCAUCCAAGUUCGUGGUCUCGCUGAUUCUUGGGUACGGGUCUCCUUCUACAAAAGUACCUCUUCGGGGGUCUUUCAUUAGGAAUGAUUUUCUCUAAGAUGUUAAAAAAUUUCUCAUUUUAAAUACUUGAAAUGAUGUUCAUCUAUGUUUUGCCUUGAGGUUUUUUGUUUUAUUUUUCCUUUCUUUCAUUCUGUAUGUCCUACUUCUUGCUUCCUCCACGUCUGGCCAGCUGGCUCCUAGCAUCGCUCUGUUGCCCUCUUUUCUUUCUUCUUUGAGCCUAAAUUCCUCCUCCUACUUACUCUUCUCAAAAUUCUGCCUAUACCUCUUCCCUAUUGACCAUUCAGGUUUUCAUUAGCUCAAUCUUUUGCCUUAGGCAGGCAAGGUGAAACAGCAAUACAUCUUUACAUAAUUAAACAAAUACAGCAAUCUUUACAUCAUCAAACAAAUAUUCCACAGCAUAAGCAAAUCCAAUAUAUCUUUACAUAGUUAUACAUUCCACAACAGUCCUUUUUCUCCUUGUAUAUGGAAACAGAGAAAGGUUGUCAGUAAAUUCACUUCACUAUGGCUAGGUCACCCCUUAGUCCCCACGUUUGCCUGCAGGAAUUUUUGCUGUUGACUGCAAGUUAGCUGCAGUGUGAACUGUGCACUGAGAAAGGGCUAAGGGACUGAGGAAUAUGGUGGCCUCAAGGAGUGUGGUGGAGGAAGUGUAAGAAGGCAAAUUGCCUUUUUAAAUUCACAGCCCAUUAGAGUCCU